AUUGAACGCUGGCGGCAGGCCUAACACAUGCAAGUCGAGCGGAUGAAGGGAGCUUGCUCCUGGAUUCAGCGGCGGACGGGUGAGUAAUGCCUAGGAAUCUGCCUGGUAGUGGGGGAUAACGUCCGGAAACGGGCGCUAAUACCGCAUACGUCCUGAGGGAGAAAGUGGGGGAUCUUCGGACCUCACGCUAUCAGAUGAGCCUAGGUCGGAUUAGCUAGUUGGUGGGGUAAAGGCCUACCAAGGCGACGAUCCGUAACUGGUCUGAGAGGAUGAUCAGUCACACUGGAACUGAGACACGGUCCAGACUCCUACGGGAGGCAGCAGUGGGGAAUAUUGGACAAUGGGCGAAAGCCUGAUCCAGCCAUGCCGCGUGUGUGAAGAAGGUCUUCGGAUUGUAAAGCACUUUAAGUUGGGAAGAAAGGCAGUAAGUUAAUACCUUGCUGUUUUGACGGUACCCACAGAAUAAGCACCGGCUAACUUCGUG
RNAcentral lists this ribosomal RNA (484 nucleotides) under uncultured bacterium. RNAcentral describes it as "partial 16S ribosomal RNA". It matches the Rfam family "Bacterial small subunit ribosomal RNA", at positions 30 to 507 of the family's 1533-position model. The record is from RNAcentral.